This 80-nucleotide microRNA precursor is filed under the name Marmota monax (woodchuck). Lineage: Eukaryota; Metazoa; Chordata; Mammalia; Rodentia; Sciuridae. The record is from RNAcentral.
UGUAUGUGUGUAUGUGUGUGUGUGUGUGUGUAUAUAUAUAUAUUUACACACACAUAUACACACACAUACACACACACACU